UGAGUAACACGUGGGCAAUCUGCCCUGCACUUCGGGAUAAGCCUGGGAAACUGGGUCUAAUACCGGAUAGGACCUUUAGACGCAUGUCUUUUGGUGGAAAGCUUUUGCGGUGUGGGAUGGGCCCGCGGCCUAUCAGCUUGUUGGUGGGGUGAUGGCCUACCAAGGCGACGACGGGUAGCCGGCCUGAGAGGGUGUCCGGCCACACUGGGACUGAGAUACGGCCCAGACUCCUACGGGAGGCAGCAGUGGGGAAUAUUGCACAAUGGGCGCAAGCCUGAUGCAGCGACGCCGCGUGGGGGAUGACGGCCUUCGGGUUGUAAACCUCUUUCACCAUCGACGAAGGUCCGGGUUUUCUCGGAUUGACGGUAGGUGGAGAAGAAGCACCGGCCAACUACGUGCCAGCAGCCGCGGUAAUACGUAGGGUGCGAGCGUUGUCCGGAAUUACUGGGCGUAAAGAGCUCGUAGGUGGUUUGUCGCGUUGUUCGUGAAAUCUCACGGCUUAACUGUGAGCGUGCGGGCGAUACGGGCAGACUAGAGUACUGCAGGGGAGACUGGAAUUCCUGGUGUAGCGGUGGAAUGCGCAGAUAUCAGGAGGAACACCGGUGGCGAAGGCGGGUCUCUGGGCAGUAACUGACGCUGAGGAGCGAAAGCGUGGGGAGCGAACAGGAUUAGAUACCCUGGUAGUCCACGCCGUAAACGGUGGGUACUAGGUGUGGGUUUCCUUCCUUGGGAUCCGUGCCGUAGCUAACGCAUUAAGUACCCCGCCUGGGGAGUACGGGCCGCAAGGCUAAAACUCAAAAGGAAUUGACGGGGGGCCCGCACAA
This 824-nucleotide ribosomal RNA is filed under the name Mycobacterium sp. RNAcentral's name for it is "bacterial SSU rRNA". It matches the Rfam family "Bacterial small subunit ribosomal RNA", at positions 107 to 928 of the family's 1533-position model. The record is from RNAcentral. Lineage: Bacteria; Bacillati; Actinomycetota; Actinomycetes; Mycobacteriales; Mycobacteriaceae.